GAACCGUACGAACGUUAUUCGGAAUCACUGGGCUUAAAGAGUGCGUAGGCGGCCCGGGUAAGUUGGGGUGUGAAAUCCCUCGGGCUCAACCGAGGAACUGCGCCCAAAACUGCCGGACUUGAGGGAGACAGAGGUGAGCGGAACUAAUGGUGGAGCGGUGAAAUGCGUUGAUAUCAUUAGGAACACCAGAAGCGAAGGCGGCUCACUGGGUCUCUUCUGACGCUGAGGCACGAAAGCUAGGGGAGCGAACGGGAUUAGAUACCCCGGUAGUCCUAGCUGUAAACGAUGAGCACUGGGUUGGAGACCCUUCCACAGGUUUCCAGCCGAAGCGAAAGUGUUAAGUGCUCCGCCUGGGGAGUAUGGUCGCAAAGGCUG
This 375-nucleotide ribosomal RNA is filed under the name uncultured organism. RNAcentral describes it as "partial 16S ribosomal RNA". It matches the Rfam family "Bacterial small subunit ribosomal RNA", at positions 527 to 896 of the family's 1533-position model. The record is from RNAcentral.